RNAcentral lists this ribosomal RNA (468 nucleotides) under uncultured bacterium. Its description in RNAcentral is "partial 16S ribosomal RNA". It matches the Rfam family "Bacterial small subunit ribosomal RNA", at positions 28 to 507 of the family's 1533-position model. The record is from RNAcentral.
GAUGAACGCUGGCGGCGUGCUUAACACAUGCAAGUCGAACGGAAAGGCCCAAGCUUGCUUGGGUACUCGAGUGGCGAACGGGUGAGUAACACGUGGGUGAUCUGCCCUGCACUUCGGGAUAAGCCUGGGAAACUGGGUCUAAUACCGGAUAGGACGAUGGUUUGGAUGCCAUUGUGGAAAGUUUUUUCGGUGUGGGAUGAGCUCGCGGACUAUCAGCUUGUUGGUGGGGUAAUGGCCUACCAAGGCGUCGACGGGUAGCCGGCCUGAGAGGGUGUACGGCCACAUUGGGACUGAGAUACGGCCCAGACUCCUACGGGAGGCAGCAGUGGGGAAUAUUGCACAAUGGGCGAAAGCCUGAUGCAGCGACGCCGGGUGGGGGAUGACGGCCUUCGGGUUGUAAACUCAUUUCGCUAGGGACGAAGCGUUUUUGUGACGGUACCUGGAGAAGAAGCACCGGCUAACUACGUG